Molecule: ribosomal RNA, 491 nt
Filed under: uncultured bacterium
Lineage: Bacteria
Description: partial 16S ribosomal RNA
Rfam family: Bacterial small subunit ribosomal RNA
Source: RNAcentral
AGUGAACGCUGGCGGUAGGCCUAACACAUGCAAGUCGAACGGCAGCACAGUAAGAGCUUGCUCUUACGGGUGGCGAGUGGCGGACGGGUGAGGAAUACAUCGGAAUCUACUUUUUCGUGGGGGAUAACGUAGGGAAACUUACGCUAAUACCGCAUACGACCUACGGGUGAAAGCAGGGGAUCUUCGGACCUUGCGCGAUUGAAUGAGCCGAUGUCGGAUUAGCUAGUUGGCGGGGUAAAGGCCCACCAAGGCGACGAUCCGUAGCUGGUCUGAGAGGAUGAUCAGCCACACUGGAACUGAUACACGGUCCAGACUCCUACGGGAGGCAGCAGUGGGGAAUAUUGGACAAUGGGCGCAAGCCUGAUCCAGCCAUACCGCGUGGGUGAAGAAGGCCUUCGGGUUGUAAAGCCCUUUUGUUGGGAAAGAAAAGCAGCAGGUUAAUACCCCGCUGUUCUGACGGUACCCAAAGAAUAAGCACCGGCUAACUUCGU